Molecule: non-coding RNA, 270 nt
Organism: Pelobates cultripes (western spadefoot toad)
Lineage: Eukaryota; Metazoa; Chordata; Amphibia; Anura; Pelobatidae
Source: the annotation of a GenBank genome assembly
GGCAACUACCGGUUUCAGCAGCUUGGUGAAGCACCACGGGGCUGAAGACAGGCCGAAAGGGAGGCAGCGGAAACGCCACAUCGUCUGUUCCCAUUGGAAUUGCAGUAAUUGUUGACAGUCCUCGGCAAUCGGAAUUGUGAGGUAUGCAUCCUGGAGGUCCAAUUUUACCAUCCAGUCUCCCAGUCUUAGUAGGUCUCGGAGGCAGUGUAUUCCUUCCAUCUUGAAGUGAUGGUAUGUGACAAAGGCGUUGAGAGGCCGCAAGUUUAUUAC